AUCUUUUCAUGGUUCCUAAGCAUGACAAUGGGAUUUUCACGCUCAUGGGUGCCCUGCAUCUUCCUUAAACCCUGUUACAGCAUGGACACAUUACCUGUCUGAUG
This is a small nucleolar RNA of Otolemur garnettii (small-eared galago), 104 nucleotides long. The record is from Ensembl. NCBI's taxonomy places the organism in Eukaryota, Metazoa, Chordata, Mammalia, Primates, Galagidae.